UAUGUACUCCCUCCGUCCCAAAAUUCUUGUCUUAGAUUUGUCUAGUCUGUAUCUAGACAAAUCUAAGACAAGAAUUUUGGGACGGAGGUAAUACCUG
Triticum aestivum (bread wheat) is the source of this 97-nucleotide non-coding RNA. The record is from Rfam. NCBI's taxonomy places the organism in Eukaryota, Viridiplantae, Streptophyta, Magnoliopsida, Poales, Poaceae.